AUAUUAAUAAGCGGAGGAAAAGAAACUAACAAGGAUUCCCCUAGUAGCGGCGAGCGAAGCGGGAAGAGCUCAAAUUUGUAAUCUGGCGCAAGCCCGAGUUGUAAUCUAUAGAAACGUUUUCCGUGCCGGACCGCGUCCAAGUCCCUUGGAACAGGGUAUCAAAGAGGGUGACAAUCCCGUGCUUGAUGCGACACCCGGGCUUUGUGAUACGUUUUCUACGAGUCGAGUUGUUUGGGGAUGCAGCUCAAAAUGGGUGGUAAAUUCCAUCUAAGGCUAAAUAUUGGCGAGAGACCGAUAGCGCACAAGUA
RNAcentral lists this ribosomal RNA (308 nucleotides) under uncultured Tremella. Its description in RNAcentral is "partial large subunit ribosomal RNA". It matches the Rfam family "Eukaryotic large subunit ribosomal RNA", at positions 40 to 350 of the family's 3401-position model. Lineage: Eukaryota; Fungi; Basidiomycota; Tremellomycetes; Tremellales; Tremellaceae. The record is from RNAcentral.